This 110-nucleotide non-coding RNA is filed under the name Halanaerobium hydrogeniformans. RNAcentral's name for it is "SAM-I sequence". It matches the Rfam family "SAM riboswitch aptamer (S box leader)". Rfam says of the family: The SAM riboswitch is found upstream of a number of genes which code for proteins involved in methionine or cysteine biosynthesis in Gram-positive bacteria. Lineage: Bacteria; Bacillati; Bacillota; Clostridia; Halanaerobiales; Halanaerobiaceae. The record is from Rfam by way of RNAcentral.
UAUUCAUCAAGAGUGGCGGAGGGAAUGGCCCUGUGAUGCCCGGCAACCUACUUAAAUAUUAAAGUAAGGUGCUAAUUCCAGCAUUCCAAUUAUGGAAUGAUAGAUGAGAG